This 87-nucleotide transfer RNA is filed under the name Methanobacteriota archaeon. Its description in RNAcentral is "Euryarchaeota archaeon tRNA-Leu". It matches the Rfam family "tRNA". From Rfam's summary of the family: Transfer RNA (tRNA) molecules are approximately 80 nucleotides in length. Their secondary structure includes four short double-helical elements and three loops (D, anti-codon, and T loops). Lineage: Archaea; Methanobacteriati; Methanobacteriota. The record is from RNAcentral.
GCAGGGGUUGCCAAGCCUGGCCAACGGCACCGGACUUAAGCUCCGGGGGCAAUGCCUUCGUGGGUUCGAAUCCCACCCCCUGCACCA